UUUUACUUAUUUCAAAUGCAUGAUAUAAGUACGGUUUUGAUUUGAAAGGUUGAAUUUGCCAAAUUGGUACACAUGGUUUCAAAAUAUUUAUAAAUGAUUUUCACAGCUCGGUUUAGUUCCUCUCAUGCUUAUAUGUUAUAAGUACACUUCUGGGGGAAUAAACCUUUUCUUGAAAAUGUAAAGCUGGGAACUACUCGAACUUUGUAAGGCAUUUGGUACGUUAAUAAGUGGAUGAGGCGCCAGUCCUAAGUUUUAACAGAUCUGGUUGUAUAUGUGAAUCCAAGGAUAUUAUUGUUCAACAUUAUUUAAUGUGUUUAGGUAUUGUUGGGGCCUGUGAAGGACUGAUCAUCUUUCGCAGACCAUUGCGUCUUAUUUAAAUCCAAUAUGUAAACAGGUUCGAGAUUUUGGUUUUAAAGGAAG
RNAcentral lists this long non-coding RNA (420 nucleotides) under Daucus carota (carrot). Its description in RNAcentral is "long non-coding RNA (DCAR_LNC002015)". Lineage: Eukaryota; Viridiplantae; Streptophyta; Magnoliopsida; Apiales; Apiaceae. The record is from RNAcentral.